CCUACGGGAGGCAGCAGUGAGGAAUAUUGGUCAAUGGCCGGAAGGCUGAACCAGCCAUGCCGCGUGAAGGUCAGUGCCCUAUGGGCGUUAAACUUCUUUUGUGCGGGAGCAAUAAUGGUAACGUGUGGCCAGACGAGAGUACCGUACGAAUAAGCAUCGGCUAACUCCGUGCCAGCAGCCGCGGUAAUACGGGGGAUGCAAGCGUUAUCCGGAUUUAUUGGGUUUAAAGGGUGCGUAGGCUGUGAGGUAAGUCAGCGGGGAAAUGCCCCCGCUCAACGGGGUGAAGUGCCAUUGAUACUGCCUUGCUGGAAUGCGGAUGCCGUGGGAGGAAUGCGCAGUGUAGCGGUGAAAUGCUUAGAUAUUGCGCAGAACUCCGAUUGCGAAGGCAGCAUACCGGCGGCGAUCUGACGCUGAGGCACGAAAGCGUGGGUAUCGAACAGGAUUAGAUACCCGAGUAGUC
RNAcentral lists this ribosomal RNA (460 nucleotides) under uncultured bacterium. RNAcentral describes it as "partial 16S ribosomal RNA". It matches the Rfam family "Bacterial small subunit ribosomal RNA", at positions 338 to 795 of the family's 1533-position model. The record is from RNAcentral.